Molecule: ribosomal RNA, 301 nt
Filed under: uncultured bacterium
Lineage: Bacteria
Description: partial 16S ribosomal RNA
Rfam family: Bacterial small subunit ribosomal RNA
Source: RNAcentral
CAGUCGCCGCGGGAAUACAGAGGGUGCGAGCGUUAAUCGGAUUUACUGGGCGUAAAGCGUGCGUAGGCGGCUUCUUAAGUCGGAUGUGAAAUCCCUGAGCUUAACUUAGGAAUUGCAUUCGAUACUGGGAAGCUAGAGUAUGGGAGAGGAUGGUAGAAUUCCAGGUGUAGCGGUGAAAUGCGUAGAGAUCUGGAGGAAUACCGAUGGCGAAGGCAGCCAUCUGGCCUAAUACUGACGCUCAUGCACGAAAGCUUGGGGAGCAAACAGGAUUAGAUACCCGCGUAGUCCCUGUCUCUUAUAC